GGGCCUGUAGCUCAGAGGAUUAGAGCACGUGGCUACGAACCACGGGUCGGGGGUUUGAAUCCUUCUUACCCCCA
RNAcentral lists this transfer RNA (74 nucleotides) under Abelia chinensis. Its description in RNAcentral is "tRNA-Arg". It matches the Rfam family "tRNA". Rfam says of the family: Transfer RNA (tRNA) molecules are approximately 80 nucleotides in length. Their secondary structure includes four short double-helical elements and three loops (D, anti-codon, and T loops). The record is from RNAcentral. Lineage: Eukaryota; Viridiplantae; Streptophyta; Magnoliopsida; Dipsacales; Caprifoliaceae.